This is a long non-coding RNA of Pristis pectinata (smalltooth sawfish), 265 nucleotides long. RefSeq lists it as uncharacterized. The transcript is spliced from 3 exons. The record is from RefSeq and is a predicted model, not a curated record. Lineage: Eukaryota; Metazoa; Chordata; Chondrichthyes; Rhinopristiformes; Pristidae.
UCGAUAUCAGUGUAAGACUGAAGACUAGGGAAUAUUCCUAAAAGCUGGACUCCAGAUGGAGCUUGUCUUUGCAAGACUAGUUAUCUGUAUUAAAGGCAAUUAAGCAGAAGUUAUUUUCUUUGGACGAGCAUUUAGAUAUUUGUCAUUGGCUUAAUAAGAUGCCUCUGCUCUAGUUCUGAUCAAAGGUCACUGACCCUCUCUCCACGAAUGCUGCCUGACCUGAAUUACAAGGCAAUUCUGGAAUUCUGGACAGCCUUGAAUCAAG